Salvia splendens (bonfire salvia) is the source of this 4089-nucleotide RNA transcript. It is a transcript of the gene named signal peptidase complex catalytic subunit SEC11A, with no coding region annotated. The record is from RefSeq and is a predicted model, not a curated record. Lineage: Eukaryota; Viridiplantae; Streptophyta; Magnoliopsida; Lamiales; Lamiaceae. The transcript has 2 exons.
AGUAGAGGGGCGAGGUCUGUGCCAACUUUGACAUUGGAGAGAUUAUGGAAAGGGAUAGGAAUAUUGAAGAGAAAUAUCAACAUAGACUGAUCUGUAUCUCUUGACUGUAAGUUCAGCUCCAAAGGGAAUUAAAUUCUUAUUAGCUUGAUUUGAGCCUUUUAGGUGUUUCCUUGAGCUUUAUGGUUUCUUGUUUAUGCUGAGCUUUCAACUUGCAUGUUUUCUGCUUUCUCGGCCUCGAUUGCUUGUUUCAUUUGGUAGAUGGAUAUACGAGUUUAUUCUAACAUGGGUUGAAAAUUGUUCAUUUGAGACUCUCAGUUAACGAAUAACAAUUUUGAAAUUGAAUUAAAUACCAAAACACUGAUCAUUGAAGUAAAAAAAGAAAUAAAAAAGAAAAUAGUGAAGGAGAUCCGGUUGGCAGUCUUUGGACCCUUGAAAAGUAGGAUUUUCAUGUGUCGUAAUUUCGUUGGCUACUAAGCAAUGUCGUGAAAAUGAAGGAACUCUUGAAGAUGACAACCUAAUUCGUACGGUCAUUUUCUCUAUUCACGUGGGAGAUAAUUUUUUUAUAAAAAAUAAUUAUAGUUUUAGAAUCAUAACAUAUUCUCAUAAAAAAAAUUUCCUUACAUUUGUACUUUCUUGUCAAAAUGGCCUAGUUAUUUUUAUGAGGGCUAACACUAACUGAUUUAGAUGAAGCUUUUUAAGAGAAUCAUAUCUGUGGAGAUAAAACUGGAAACCGAGUAUAAUUGAAAAAAUAGUUAAAGAAUUGUAAAUGUAUGAGAGUAAAAGAUUGGUACUUAGGGAGCAUUAAAUAGUUAUAAUUAUUUGAGAGACGACCUAGAAUUUUCUGAAACGUGAGAAAUGCUCUUCAAAUCCCACUCCACUUUCAUCAAGAUCCAGUGAAAUGAAAUGAUGAUUACCUCAAAACACAGAGCUUUCUUCUUCUUCUUCUUCUUCUUCCUCAGCACCAUCUUCAAUUUCAAUUCCUUCACAUCAACCUAUGGCAACACCACUUUCUGCCACAAAAUCGAAAAACAAGCCCUCCUAACCUUGAAGCAAUCCAUAAGCUUAAACAACUUCACCCUCUCCUCAUGGAACACCACCAACUCCAACUGCUGCACAUGGAACGGCGUCGUUUGCAGCGUUCCAACCGGCCACGUCCACGGCCUCCAUCUCAGUUCUCACUCCUUACACGGCAAUAUCAAUCUGUCCACUCUCCUUCGUCUCAAGCACCUCACCUAUCUUGAUCUGAGCCACAACCAAUUCCAAGGAGCAAUCCCUCCAUCCAUUGCGAGGCUAAAGAAUCUCGAGUAUCUGAAUCUCUCCAAUGCUGGAUUCCACGGAGUGAUUCCUCGGUCGAUAGGGAAUCUCUCGAGCCUACGCACUUUGGUUCUAGAAGGUUCUGGCCAGAAAGUGCAUGAGCUUGGAUGGCUGUCUUGUUUAGUCCGUUUGAAGCAUCUCAACAUGAACUUCAUCGACCUCAGAAACGAAACCAACUGGUUGGGAAUCAUCGACGCUCUUCCUCAUUUGGCUGAGCUCCAUCUUCGUGGCUGCAAGCUUCUCUCACCUCUCUCCACACUUGAUCAUGUUAAUGCCACUUCUCUAACAUUUCUUGAUCUCUCUAGAAACGAGCUCGCCUCUUUCUCCACUGCAGGGUGGAUUUUCAGAAAAGGUAGCCUGAGGUUUCUUGAUAUGAGUCAAAACUAUAUCGAAGGCCAUGUUCCAUAUACAAGCAAUACAACGAAACUGCAACACAUUGAUCUCUCUUGGAAUAAACUCAGCUCAGUAAUCCCGGAUUGGAUUUACUCACGUCAAGAUUUGAAGUUUGUGUAUUUGGGCAAUAACUUCUUGAAUGGUACGAUCUCCAAAAGGGUAGCGAAUCUAACAUCUCUUGACACUUUCAGUUUAAGCUAUAACCAAAUCUCUGGGGAAAUACCGAGUGAGAUCACUAGCUUGUGCGCGAUACGAAUAUUGGACUUGUCUGGUAACAAUUCUCGAAGGGAAUAUAUCUGAUGUAUUUGAAAAUAUAUCCCAUUGCUUCCUGGAAGCAGUCGUAACAUUGCGCAUGAGGGAAAAUAAACUGUCUGGUCACUUGACGAACCAGUUUGGCAAGUUCAAGAAACUGGGGUUUCUUGAUCUCACCAUAAACUCAAUAUCUGGCGUGAUCCCAGACAGUUUAUGUAAAUCGUCGUGCCUAAGGAUAUUAUGGCUUGCAUUCAACAAACUGAGUGGAGAAUUGCCAAUGAGUAUAGGGCAGCUUUUUAACUUGGAAAGUCUUACUUUUGGGAGGAAUAAGUUGGAAGGGGUUGUGAAUGAGACUCACUUUGAAAAACUCACAAAAUUGAAGUACUUGUUUGCAUCUGGCAAUAACUUGAGUUUGAAAGUGAGCCCUAAUUGGAUUCCACCUUUCCAACUUGUGGAGGAGAUUGGCAUUGGAUCUUGGAAUCUUGGGACAGCUGAGAUACCUUCAUGGAUUAAUGAAUUGCAUAAGAAUGUUUCAGUUCUUGAUUUGUCUGAUACUGGGCUAUCUGGUGAAGUUCCAACAUGGGUUUGGGGUGUAAGUAUACUCAACCUCUCCCACAACCAGUUUCAUGGAGAAAUACCUGACUUUAAACCAUGGAAGCAUCACCAUGCUUUUCCAUAUCAACGACGUAUGUAUUUGAGUUCAAAUCGAUUUAGUGGCUCGUUGCCCCGGGUUUCAUAUGAUAUGCUCGAGUUGGAUCUUUCCAACAAUUCAUUUUCAGGAAGUUUAUCACACUUUCUAUGUGAUGCCACAUUUGAUACUUAUGUGAAGAUUCUCCAUUUGGGAAACAAUUUGAUAAGUGGGGAAAUCCCAAAUUGUUGGAUGAAAUGGUCUUCUUUGUAGGUGCGGGUAGUGUGUUGUUGUCGAACAAAUCUUGGAGACAAGGCUAUUUUGCAUGGGCGGAGAGAGUUUGGCACAAGAUUUAUGUUUAUAUAACCAUUAAUGCAUCACAAUCUAUAUUGUGUGUAUUAUAGUUUAAUGUAUGUUUAGUGCUAUUUGUUUGUUUUACCUCAAAACGCCUCAAUGCAUCACAAUGUGGCGUUUGAUGGUUGUAUCCCCGGUGGAACAGCUGCCGCUCAAGCCUGCAGUUAUGCACUAUGAUCGUAUGGUACUCUUCCUCAACCCGUAUCAACUGCAACGCGCUCGUGGCUAUUAGGCUGAUGGUGCUGCUCGAAUUUGUGUGAGUUGGCAAAAUAGUUUGCCCCCUUCGCCGUAGUAAAGCUAACAUCAUGGUAGCAUGUUCAGAGUGAGGGAGUAUACCGGCUGUGAUGAAGCCAAGAUGUUCACCAACAACAUCAUUAAAGCAUAAUAAGUUCCAAGUAUAUUUGGUGUUCCAAGUAUACUGUUAACGAAUAAUUAUAGAGAGAGAUGGCAUGAACUCAAAUAAGAUAUAAGCUGGUCUAUUUUAAGAGUUAGAUUACCAUAUGGUGAAGGGUAUCAAAUGGAAAAAGAACAAGUCUCUCUACAAAAUAAUAGAGAUGGAGCAUACACAUGUAUUGAAGCCUGACACAGGUUCCGAAAAGAACGCAACAAUCUGUUGGUCGGGGUGAAGAAAGUAGUGUUUGGAUUGUCGACUGCAACAACAGUUUGAUUUGGGUCAAGCCCGCACGGAUUUGUUCUUGGGCCACUCCCAAAAGGCCUCAAACUAAUUGGAGUUGGACAAGAAUUAUAUACGCCUUCCAACUUCCCUCGCAAAUUUUGAAAAACAUUUUGAUUUUGGUUUAGUGUAAACAGGUUUUAGAAUAAAGGGGUGAGGUCUGUGCCAACUUUGACAUUGGAGAGAUUAUGGAAAGGGAUAGGAAUAUUGAAGAGAAAUAUCAACAACAUAGACUGAUCUGUAUCUCUUGACUGUGUAAGUUCAGCUCCAAAGAGAAUUAAAAUUCUUAUUAGCUUGAUUUUGAGGUAUUUCCUUGAGCUUUAUUUUAUGGUUUCUUGUUUAUGCUCAGCUUUCAAUUUCUGCUUUCUCGGCCUCAAUUGCUUGUUUCAUUUGGUAUGUGGAUCGAUACGACUUUAUUCUAACCUGGGCUGAAAACUGUGCAUCUAAAUUGAAUAGUAAAAAUUUUGAAACUGAA